AGUGAACGCUGGCGGUAGGCCUAACACAUGCAAGUCGAACGGCAGCACAGUAAGAGCUUGCUCUUACGGGUGGCGAGUGGCGGACGGGUGAGGAAUACAUCGGAAUCUACUUUUUCGUGGGGGAUAACGUAGGGAAACUUACGCUAAUACCGCAUACGACCUACGGGUGAAAGCAGGGGAUCUUCGGACCUUGCGCGAUUGAAUGAGCCGAUGUCGGAUUAGCUAGUUGGCGGGGUAAAGGCCCACCAAGGCGACGAUCCGUAGCUGGUCUGAGAGGAUGAUCAGCCACACUGGAACUGAGACACGGUCCAGACUCCUACGGGAGGCAGCAGUGGGGAAUAUUGGACAAUGGGCGCAAGCCUGAUCCAGCCAUACCGCGUGAGUGAAGAAGGCCUUCGGAUUGUAAAGCCCUUUUGUUGGGAAAGAAAAGCAGCAGGUUAAUACCCCGCUGUUCUGACGGUACCCAAAGAAUAAGCAACGGCUAACUUCGUG
This 492-nucleotide ribosomal RNA is filed under the name uncultured bacterium. Its description in RNAcentral is "partial 16S ribosomal RNA". It matches the Rfam family "Bacterial small subunit ribosomal RNA", at positions 29 to 507 of the family's 1533-position model. The record is from RNAcentral.